RNAcentral lists this ribosomal RNA (361 nucleotides) under uncultured bacterium. Its description in RNAcentral is "bacterial SSU rRNA". It matches the Rfam family "Bacterial small subunit ribosomal RNA", at positions 29 to 419 of the family's 1533-position model. The record is from RNAcentral.
AACGAACGCUGGCGGCAGGCCUAACACAUGCAAGUCGAACGCUCCGCAAGGGGAGUGGCGCACGGGUGAGUAACACGUGGGAACCUACCUUCUGGUACGGAACAACCAAGGGAAACUUUGGCUAAGACCGUAUACGACCUCCGGGUGAAAGAUUGAUCGCCGGAAGAGGGGCCCGCGUCCGAUUAGGUAGUUGGUGAGGUAACGGCUCACCAAGCCUUCGAUCGGUAGCUGGUCUGAGAGGAUGACCAGCCACACUGGGGCUGAGACACGGCCCAGACUCCUACGGGAGGCAGCAGUGGGGAAUAUUGGACAAUGGGCGCAAGCCUGAUCCAGCCAUGCCGCGUGAGUGAUGAAGGCCUUC